CGCGAAGAACCUUACCUGGUCUUGACAUCCACGGAAGUUUUCAGAGAUGAGAAUGUGCCUUCGGGAACCGUGAGACAGGUGCUGCAUGGCUGUCGUCAGCUCGUGUUGUGAAAUGUUGGGUUAAGUCCCGCAACGAGCGCAACCCUUAUCCUUUGUUGCCAGCGGUCCGGCCGGGAACUCAAAGGAGACUGCCAGUGAUAAACUGGAGGAAGGUGGGGAUGACGUCAAGUCAUCAUGGCCCUUACGACCAGGGCUACACACGUGCUACAAUGGCGCAUACAAAGAGAAGCGACCUCGCGAGAGCAAGCGGACCUCAUAAAGUGCGUCGUAGUCCGGAUUGGAGUCUGCAACUCGACUCCAUGAAGUCGGAAUCGCUAGUAAUCGUGGAUCAGAAUGCCACGGUGAAUACGUUCCCGGGCCUUGUACACACCGCCCGUCACACCAUGGGAGUGGGUUGCAAAAGAAGUAGGUAGCUUAACCUUCGGGAGGGCGCUUACCACUUUGUGAUUCAUGACUGGGGUGAAGUCGUAACAAGGUAACCGUAGGGGAACCUGCGGUUGGAUCACCUCCUUACCUUAAAGAAGC
This 585-nucleotide ribosomal RNA is filed under the name Escherichia coli. RNAcentral's name for it is "bacterial SSU rRNA". It matches the Rfam family "Bacterial small subunit ribosomal RNA", at positions 960 to 1533 of the family's 1533-position model. RNAcentral also lists the same sequence under 1 other name. The record is from RNAcentral. Lineage: Bacteria; Pseudomonadati; Pseudomonadota; Gammaproteobacteria; Enterobacterales; Enterobacteriaceae.